Molecule: long non-coding RNA, 581 nt
Filed under: Heterocephalus glaber (naked mole-rat)
Lineage: Eukaryota; Metazoa; Chordata; Mammalia; Rodentia; Bathyergidae
Description: lncRNA (ENSHGLG00000038788.1)
Source: RNAcentral
CUUGGGUGAAUCCCCGCUGCCCCGGGGACCCCCCUCCCGGGCACCGCCGACCUCCAGCCGGCCGGCACCAUGAGGCCCCGUCCCCUGCCUCCGGGUCCCCUGCUCCCAGCCAGCGCCACCGCGGAGCCCCGGGGGCAGCGGGAGAUGGGGAGAAUGCCGCCUGGGCUGGGUGAGUUCGGGGCUCUGGUGCCGCUGGAAUUUCCCAUUGUCGCGCACGGUGGCGCAACCCCUGGACCUGCGAGUGCCUCCUCCCUCCGGAGGUGUGCGGAGGCUUUGUGUGCCAGCCCUGCGCUCUUCCUGUCUUCAACUCCUCUGUCAGUUGCUCCAUACCCUUCCUGUACCUGCAGGCCUGGUCACAGCUCCUUCACUGCUCUGUUGCCGGUCACAGGAACCUGGGCCUCGCCGUGUGGUCAGGCAUUGCAAACUGGGUAUGUCAAUGACUCCCCAGUUCCAGCCCUGCCUGAGAGACCCCUGGCACAUGCAAGUGAGCCUGCCUCAUGUGCUCUGUGCUUUGAACCCCAUUUUUACCAGCUGCCAUGACAAACAGCUGUCCAGUCAUAUCAGUCCUUGACACUCUGUCC